UACGAAGGGGGCUAGCGUUGUUCGGAAUUACUGGGCGUAAAGGGCGCGUAGGCGGCGUGUCAAGUCAGGCGUGAAAGCCCCGGGCUCAACCUGGGAACCGCGCUUGAGACUGGCAUGCUCGAGUUCGGGAGAGGAUGGUGGAAUUCCCAGUGUAGAGGUGAAAUUCGUAGAUAUUGGGAAGAACACCGAUGGCGAAGGCAGCCAUCUGGACCGACACUGACGCCGAGGCGCGAAAGCGUGGGGAUCAAACAGG
This 253-nucleotide ribosomal RNA is filed under the name uncultured bacterium. RNAcentral describes it as "partial 16S ribosomal RNA". It matches the Rfam family "Bacterial small subunit ribosomal RNA", at positions 524 to 776 of the family's 1533-position model. The record is from RNAcentral.